RNAcentral lists this unclassified non-coding RNA (345 nucleotides) under soil metagenome. RNAcentral's name for it is "partial contains 5.8S ribosomal RNA, internal transcribed spacer 2, and large subunit ribosomal RNA". The stretch from base 1 to 120 matches the Rfam family "5.8S ribosomal RNA", at positions 35 to 154 of the family's 154-position model. The record is from RNAcentral.
GAUGAAGAACGCAGCGAGAUGCGAUAAGUAAUGUGAAUUGCAGAAUUCCGUGAAUCAUCGAAUCUUUGAACGCACAUUGCGCCCUCUGGUAUUCCGGGGGGCAUGCCUGUCCGAGCGUCAUUUGCAACCCUCAAGCCCGGCUUGUGUGAUGGGUGCCGUCCCCUACGGGACGCGCCCCGAAGGCAAUGGCGGCGUCGCGGUUAUCCGAUCAGCCAAAGUGUAUGGGGCUUUGUCACUCACUUUACGGCCCGGACCGGCGCCAGUCCGAAUCAAUCUUUUUUCUAAAGUUGACCUCGGAUCAGGUAGGGAUACCCGCUGAACUUAAGCAUAUCAAUAAGCGGAGGA